UGAACCUUGGAGGCGAGGACAUUCUAUGU
This 29-nucleotide non-coding RNA is filed under the name Homo sapiens (human). The record is from RNAcentral. Lineage: Eukaryota; Metazoa; Chordata; Mammalia; Primates; Hominidae.